RNAcentral lists this ribosomal RNA (254 nucleotides) under uncultured microorganism. Its description in RNAcentral is "partial 16S ribosomal RNA". It matches the Rfam family "Archaeal small subunit ribosomal RNA", at positions 474 to 727 of the family's 1478-position model. The record is from RNAcentral.
CACCGGCGGCUCGAGUGGUGGCCACUUUUAUUGGGUCUAAAGCGUCCGUAGCCGGCUUGGCAAGUCCCCUGGGAAAUCUGGCGGCUUAACCGUCAGGCGUCCAGAGGAUACUGCCAGGCUUGGGACCGGGAGAGGUGAGAGGUACCUCAGGGGUAGGGGUGAAAUCCUAUAAUCCCAGGGGGACCACCAGUGGCGAAGGCGUCUCACUAGAACGGGUCCGACGGUCAGGGACGAAAGCUGGGGGCACGAACCGG